GAUGAACGCUGGCGGCGUGCCUAAUACAUGCAAGUCGAGCGAACAGACGAGGAGCUUGCUCCUCUGACGUUAGCGGCGGACGGGUGAGUAACACGUGGAUAACCUACCUAUAAGACUGGGAUAACUUCGGGAAACCGGAGCUAAUACCGGAUAAUAUAUUGAACCGCAUGGUUCAAUAGUGAAAGACGGUUUUGCUGUCACUUAUAGAUGGAUCCGCGCCGCAUUAGCUAGUUGGUAAGGUAACGGCUUACCAAGGCAACGAUGCGUAGCCGACCUGAGAGGGUGAUCGGCCACACUGGAACUGAGAAACGGUCCAGACUCCGACGGGAGGCAGCAGUAGGGAAUCUUCCGAAAUGGGCGAAAGCCUGACGGAGCAACGCCGCGUGAGUGAUGAAGGUCUUCGGAUCGUAAAACUCUGUUAUUAGGGAAGAACAAAUGUGUAAGUAACUAUGCACGUCCUGACGGUACCUAAUCAGAAAGCCACGGCUAACUACGU
Molecule: ribosomal RNA, 496 nt
Filed under: uncultured bacterium
Lineage: Bacteria
Description: partial 16S ribosomal RNA
Rfam family: Bacterial small subunit ribosomal RNA
Source: RNAcentral